CCUACGGGAUGCAGCAGUGGGGAAUAUUGCACAAUGGGCGCAAGCCUGAUGCAGCCAUGCCGCGUGUAUGAAGAAGGCCUUCGGGUUGUAAAGUACUUUCAGCGAGGAGGAAGGCGAUAAGGUUAAUAACCUUGUCGAUUGACGUUACCCGCAGAAGAAGCACCGGCUAACUCCGUGCCAGCAGCCGCGGUAAUACGGAGGGUGCAAGCGUUAAUCGGAAUUACUGGGCGUAAAGCGCACGCAGGCGGUCUGUCAAGUCGGAUGUGAAAUCCCCGGGCUCAACCUGGGAACUGCAUUCGAAACUGGCAGGCUAGAGUCUUGUAGAGGGGGGUAGAAUUCCAGGUGUAGCGGUGAAAUGCGUAGAGAUCUGGAGGAAUACCGGUGGCGAAGGCGGCCCCCCUGGACAAAGACUGACGCUCAAGUGCGAAAGCGUGGGGAGCAAGCAGGAUUAGAUACCCGAGUAGUC
Molecule: ribosomal RNA, 466 nt
Filed under: uncultured bacterium
Lineage: Bacteria
Description: bacterial SSU rRNA
Rfam family: Bacterial small subunit ribosomal RNA
Source: RNAcentral